This 455-nucleotide long non-coding RNA is filed under the name Mytilus galloprovincialis (Mediterranean mussel). The record is from RNAcentral. Lineage: Eukaryota; Metazoa; Mollusca; Bivalvia; Mytilida; Mytilidae.
GGGCCGGUGCAAAAUGGGGCGGGGCAAGCACUUUUUUUGUGGAAAUAUUUGGAUGGGCGAGAACUUUUUUUAAAAUAUUUAGUGGAUGGGCCAGAACAUAUUUUAUAGGAAAAUUUUUUAUCCAUUUUAUCGGUGUGUAAGAAAUUUCUUUUGCGGGCACUCAAAAACUGGUAGCUUGGUUCAUUUCUGUCAACUUUAAGGAUUUAAUUAAGGAUUAAACCAGAUGCUACGCAGGGCGCAGCUUUAUACGACCGCAGAGGUUGAACCCUGAACGGUUGGGGCAAGUAUGGACACAACAUUCAAGCUGGAUUCAGCUCUAAAUUUGGAUUGCGAUUAAAUAGUUGACUCAGCAUAGGUUUCUGACACAGAAUGAAUGUGGUCUAAUGAACUUAAAAUACUUUUUUUUCCUUUGAGCAAUUCACUAUGCUGUUGAAUAUUAAUCCUCUCAAAAAAAU